This 729-nucleotide long non-coding RNA is filed under the name Musa acuminata (dwarf banana). RNAcentral describes it as "long non-coding RNA (MACU_LNC006692)". Lineage: Eukaryota; Viridiplantae; Streptophyta; Magnoliopsida; Zingiberales; Musaceae. The record is from RNAcentral.
AGAUUUAUUCCUAAUUAAGAAUGACUGACUUAACAAAUUAAAAUUAACCAAGUUGAAAGGAUUUCCCUGUUCUUUUUCCUCUUUAUCAGUCUUUUGAGAUUGCAAGAAUCCAACUUAUCCUUUGCUUCCCUCUUCUCAUUAUUCUUCCCUGGACAAAAAAAACAUUUGGAUGUACAGUCCAUCAUAUUAGCAUAUAUAAAGAGGAUUGUUUAGAGGAUUGGAAGCAUAAACUGGGAAGCAUUGAAAGUGGAAACCUACAACUCUGCCAUGUUCACAGGUAUCUGCAAACACAGGCAUCAAGUAGUCAAAACAUCUAACUGUAUCAUCACAACAUAACACACUUUGACAAUAUAUAAUUGAAUGAAAAGAAUCAGAAAAGAAUUAAAAUCAUCAAAUGUGAUGUUCUCCAAAAACCAUGAAUAACUCAAAUUCAAAUCUCGGCAACCGUCUCUAUGCAAGUAUAAAGGUAAGGUGUGUAUAUAGACCCCCGGGUUCAUUUCUAUUAUUUAUGUGCUUCAGUUGUCAACCAUCAGCAAUUUGACAAAUAGAAUACUGGGAGGAGACAAAAGCAACUGAAGAAAUUGCUCUCCUGCUAUCAGUUUACUGAAGUAAUAUUCUCCAGAAAUCAUGAAUAACAUGACAUCUCCCAGAAACAAUAGACCAACAAGAAAGACAUAUUUUAAAAUCAAAUAACUCAUUCAGCCAAAACCAUAUAUAAGAAAGACAAAU